CCCUCAGUUUGUUUUCUUAGUGGCUCUUUGAUGUCUUUUUCAGUGUGUCAGCUGCCGGGUGAACUCUGUGUUCCCACACACAUAAAGCCCACCGCGCUCCCCAGCCAACAUCAACACCCCCCAGAGCAGAUUUGGCAUCAUCAAAAGCCUUGCUUCUCUGAUGUUCUGGUCACCUUUCCAGUGUGCCUCUAAGUCCUGAGCUUGGCAGUUUUCCUGAUGCAGACAAGAGGUGGGACUUGCUUUAUAAGUCAUCAACCCCGAGGCCUUCACAAGAAAAACAGUGAUGUUUACCUUGGGGAAUUCUAAUUCCUCAGCUUUGGCUGUCUCCUCAGCAACUCCUGUGUUGUCAUCUGCUUCAACACAUGCACUUACAAGGAGCACUUACAAAGGGAGCUGAGUCAUUCUCUAAAUCUGGACCAUCGUCCUCUGAACAUAAAACCUUCCUCUGCAGUUCUUAAGG
This is a non-coding RNA of Cyanistes caeruleus (blue tit), 460 nucleotides long. NCBI's taxonomy places the organism in Eukaryota, Metazoa, Chordata, Aves, Passeriformes, Paridae. The record is from RefSeq and is a predicted model, not a curated record.